This 346-nucleotide unclassified non-coding RNA is filed under the name Hevea brasiliensis (rubber tree). The record is from RNAcentral. Lineage: Eukaryota; Viridiplantae; Streptophyta; Magnoliopsida; Malpighiales; Euphorbiaceae.
CCCAAAUGAUCUAAUUGAAAGGCUUGAUAGACUUUGAUGUGGCCGAAGUGAGUUGAGAACUUGCUCUUCAUCACUCGAGUUUCUGAAAACAGAGGAAAAUUCAUUAGUCCAUUGCAAGACUAAUUCAGUNNNNNNNGCUUCAAAUUGGCAGAAUCUGCAUCUCCAAUAUCUACCACAUUCUCUAAACUUGUAAUGUGAAGCUGCCCUUGUAGAUUAGAAAGUUUCUUCAAUUCUGUUAUCCUUCUGUUGCAUUUCCCCACGAUAAACUUAGGCAACAUACAGAGACCAGUCAAAUUACCGAUAUGUGGUGGCAUCUCUUGCAAACUUGAUGUGCCAGUAAUAUCAA